GAUGAAGAACGUAGCGAAAUGCGAUAAGUAAUGUGAAUUGCAGAAUUCAGUGAAUCAUCGAAUCUUUGAACGCACAUUGCGCCCGCCAGUGUUCUGGCGGGCAUGCCUGUUCGAGCGUCAUUACAACCCUCAGGCCCCCGGGCCUGGCGUUGGGGAUCGGCGGAGCCCCCCGUGGGCACACGCCGUCCCCCAAAUACAGUGGCGGUCCCGCCGCAGCUUCCAUCGCGUAGUAGCUAACACCUCGCGACUGGAGAGCGGCGCGGCCACGCCGUAAAACACCCAACUCUUCUGAAGUUGACCUCGAAUCAGGUAGGAAUACCCGCUGAACUUAAGCAUAUCAAUAAGCGGAGGA
This 352-nucleotide unclassified non-coding RNA is filed under the name soil metagenome. Its description in RNAcentral is "partial contains 5.8S ribosomal RNA, internal transcribed spacer 2, and large subunit ribosomal RNA". The stretch from base 1 to 120 matches the Rfam family "5.8S ribosomal RNA", at positions 35 to 154 of the family's 154-position model. The record is from RNAcentral.